This 253-nucleotide ribosomal RNA is filed under the name uncultured bacterium. RNAcentral describes it as "partial 16S ribosomal RNA". It matches the Rfam family "Bacterial small subunit ribosomal RNA", at positions 524 to 776 of the family's 1533-position model. The record is from RNAcentral.
UACAGGGGGUGCAAACGUUGCUCGGAAUUAUUGGGCGUAAAGCGCGCGUAGGCGGCUACCUAAGUCGGAUGUGAAAGCCCCUGGCUUAACUGGGGAAGUGCACCCGAAACUGAGUAGCUAGAGUGCGAAAGAGGGUCGCGGAAUUCCCGGUGUAGAGGUGAAAUUCGUAGAUAUCGGGAGGAACACCGGUGGCGAAGGCGGCGACCUGGGUCGAUACUGACGCUGAGGCGCGAAAGCGUGGGGAGCGAACAGG